This 492-nucleotide ribosomal RNA is filed under the name uncultured bacterium. Its description in RNAcentral is "partial 16S ribosomal RNA". It matches the Rfam family "Bacterial small subunit ribosomal RNA", at positions 29 to 507 of the family's 1533-position model. The record is from RNAcentral.
AGUGAACGCUGGCGGUAGGCCUAACACAUGCAAGUCGAACGGCAGCACAGUAAGAGCUUGCUCUUACGGGUGGCGAGUGGCGGACGGGUGAGGAAUACAUCGGAAUCUACUUUUUCGUGGGGGAUAACGUAGGGAAACUUACGCUAAUACCGCAUACGACCUACGGGUGAAAGCAGGGGAUCUUCGGACCUUGCGCGAUUGAAUGAGCCGAUGUCGGAUUAGCUAGUUGGCGGGGUAAAGGCCCACGAAGGCGACGAUCCGUAGCUGGUCUGAGAGGAUGAUCAGCCACACUGGCACUGAGCCACGGUACUGACUCCUACGGGCGGCCGCAGUGGGGAAUAUUGGACAAUGGGCGCAAGCCUGAUCCAGCCAUACCGCGUGGGUGAAGAAGGCCUUCGGGUUGUAAAGCCCUUUUGUUGGGAAAGAAAAGCAGCAGGUUAAUACCCCGCUGUUCUGACGGUACCCAAAGAAUAAGCACCGGCUAACUUCGUG